RNAcentral lists this ribosomal RNA (393 nucleotides) under uncultured bacterium. RNAcentral describes it as "partial 16S ribosomal RNA". It matches the Rfam family "Bacterial small subunit ribosomal RNA", at positions 523 to 918 of the family's 1533-position model. The record is from RNAcentral.
AUACGGAAGGUCCGGGCGUUAUCCGGAUUUAUUGGGUUUAAAGGGAGCGCAGGCGGAGAUGCAAGCGUGACGUCAAAUUUCGGGGCUCAACCCCGUCUCGCGUCGCGAACUGCGUCCCUUGGUUGCGGGAAGGGGAGGCGGAACUCGUGGUGUAGCGGUGAAGUGCAUAGAUAUCACGAAGAACUCCGAUCGCGAAGGCAGCCUUCCGGCCCGUCAACGACGCUCAUGCUCGAAGGUGCGGGUAUCAAACAGGAUUAGAUACCCUGGUAGUCCGCACAGUAAACGAUGGACACCCGCGGUUUGGCCUAUAUGGCUGAGCCGCCAAGCGAAAGCGUUAAGUGUCCCACCUGGGGAGUACGCCGGCAACGGUGAAACUCAAAUGAAUUGACGGGG